Molecule: ribosomal RNA, 419 nt
Filed under: bacterium
Lineage: Bacteria
Description: partial 16S ribosomal RNA
Rfam family: Bacterial small subunit ribosomal RNA
Source: RNAcentral
UGGGGGAUAUUGCACAAUGGGCGAAAGCCUGAUGCAGCGACGCCGCGUGGGGGAUGAAGGCCUUCGGGUUGUAAACUUCUUUUGCUCUGAACAAGGCGCACCAUGGGGUGUGUUGAGUGUAGGGGUUGAUUAGCGCCGGCUAACUACGUGCCAGCAGCCGCGGUAAUACGUAGGGCGCGAGCGUUGUCCGGAAUUAUUGGGCGUAAAGGGCUUGUAGGUGGCUGGUUGCGUCUGUCGUGAAAGCUCAUGGCUCAACUGUGGGUUUGCGGUGGGUACGGGCUGGCUUGAGUGCAGUAGGGGAGGCUGGAAUUCCUGGUGUAGCGGAGGAAUGCGCAGAUAUCAGGAGGAAUACCGGUGGCGAAGGCGGGUCUCUGGGCUGUUACUGACACUGAGGAGCGAAAGCAUGGGGAGCGAACAGG